AUCCAACUGAUCAGUCCCAAAUAGAACGAAACGCGCAUUCUGGAU
Molecule: non-coding RNA, 45 nt
Filed under: Schistosoma bovis
Lineage: Eukaryota; Metazoa; Platyhelminthes; Trematoda; Strigeidida; Schistosomatidae
Also listed under: 1 other name
Source: RNAcentral